This 1931-nucleotide long non-coding RNA is filed under the name Hordeum vulgare. Its description in RNAcentral is "long non-coding RNA (HVUL_LNC000220)". The record is from RNAcentral. Lineage: Eukaryota; Viridiplantae; Streptophyta; Magnoliopsida; Poales; Poaceae.
CACUCCUGUCAUUCUGUCUGGGAUUUGAUCAACUUAGUUGCCCUCUGUGAAAUCGCUGGCACAUGCAACUUUGAAGACUUGCCAAGAAAGGGGGUGAUAAACUAAGAGCCCUUUUCAAGUAUCUAUGCUGGUUGUUAAGCGGUUGCCAACACCGAUGUCUCUUGAAUUAGGAUUUUGCCCCGCUUUAUGAAUAAAGCCAACAUCACGUCCAUACAAUGAGUUCUAGUGUCGAAAUAUCAUAGUCUACCUGGAAAACAUCACACAAUCACGCCCAAAAAAAGCAUAAAAGAAAUAAGAAAAAAGACCAAGUGGCCACACACUUAUGAAGCCUGCUGCAAUGGGAGCCGCCAAGCGGUCGCAUCCAUCAUAAGCCCUAGAUGCUCGCUGCCACGCUGCCUAGACACCAGAUGCCAGUGCUGUAAGAAGACAAGAAAUUUAAAAAAAGAGUGAGGGGCCCUUCUAAGAAAGACGCAUCUUAUUAUGUGUCUACAUAGCGUCCAAGCAAAUGCCGCAAACACUAGCCAGAAGAUGUGUCUCCUCCUACUGGUCUGGACAACUCUAGCCUGAAGGAACCGAGAUAGAUCUGGGCCCUCCCAAUCAGGCCCAAGCUAGGACCCCACAGAUGAAACUCCAUAGCGUCCAAGCCAGGGCCGAUGUCCACCUAUUUUUUUCUCUUUGUUCUAACCUUUCCGUAACGUUUUGAUGAACAGAUAUUCACUGAAAUUAAGGGAGGAGUUCUUAACCAUUUGUUAAAACAUCUAGCCACGUUUGUGACUUGCUCCUGUUGAGAGGAAUUAGUAAGUACAUACACAUUGAUAUCUAUUAUGCAACAGUUAAUAAAGUUUAUACUGCUCUAAAGUUUAAUGUAGAUCGUUGUAACCUUUUGAUGAACAUAUACACAUUAAUAAAAAGGUUUAAAAGGAGUAAAAGCAGGUGCGUUGCGCAAUAACUGAAUUUUUUCGCAGAUCGGUUGGUACAAUAUCUGAAUUUUCGUAGGCAGGUUGCAGCAGAAAGAUGAGCACUGAUCCAAGGGUUUUAUGUCUUGAAAGAAAGACAUAUCAAGAGGAAUAUGCUUGCAAGGAGGAGAAGGAAAUACAACAACAACAAAAGGCAGAGUUUAUGUCUUACUCGCAACCAGAUUCCAGGAAACCAAGAUCACACAUAAUGAAGUCUUUUGUACCUUUAUUAUUCAGAUCCUCGUACAGUAAAAACACCUGCUCAAUGGGCGUCUACUGAGCGGAACUUCCUACCGAUGAAACUCCAGUCCCGAUCCCGAGCCGCAUCCCUGCGGUGGUAGCAUCCUCUGCACGUUCCGCUUCUUUCGGAUGGCACGAUAGACGGAGGCCAUCUGCACGCAGGAAGUCUCCAGUUCACGCCCAAGGCAUGGGGCGCUUGCACCGCCAAGUCCUCCUCACCAACUUCCUCGACGGCGGCGGCUGUAGGAGCAUUGUAGGCAGCACCCAACCACUCCUUGCAUCAUCGAGAUCGCCUCCCCUCCCCCUGUACAACAGAGCCAAGAUGGGAACUUGUUUCAAAAGAACAGACGCAAGAGCAACGUGGCAAAGACACUCAACAGAGCCAAGAUGAGCAGACCAAGACGGUGAAACAACGUACCUGCAGAGUCUGCGCCGGCGCUGCAUGAGCGAGGUGCCAGCGUUGCAUGAGAGAGAUGGCACAUGACACGAGUGCUGCCACUAACCGGCGAUGUGCGAAGGCCAUCGAGAUGGGAGCCAGUGAAGCUGGGAGAAGACAACACUGUAUCGCAUUUCUCAUGUAUGACUACAUCGCCACCACACAACUUGAAAUUUACCAUAUAUUUCGGUGCCGGCAGGUUCUAGACCAUUUUUUCAGCUUUCUUCUAAUAUCUCAUCUAAAUUAUGUGGGUGAAUCCUUUCAACUGUGUAGUACUACUCAUCUCAUCAUGAGUGCAG